AAGACGACCUGAAGACGACUCCCACAGAAGACCCCAGAUAGAGAGACUUCGGAAUGAAGGCUCCUGAACUAGGAAGGCAGACAUGCUUCAAGAGGACGGCCUGCCAGGGCUUACCUCCCAGGCUGCAAUGCACUAACCAUGCACGGGGCCUGGUUGUGAGGAGAAUGGCAUUUCCCGUGAUGCCUGCCAGCAUACCAUAUUCAAGAUUCCCAUUGUGGCUGUGGAUCUACUGACCCUCUUGUACUGCACUCACUCAUCUUGCAAUGAAGUGAGAAGAUAAAAUGUCUACGUGAUGAGAUGCAGUGACGUGUAUGACUAGGCACUCUGACUAGUGUUGGACUACUAGUGACCUUCCGACCAUAGGUUAAAAGGUGAUCAUCCCCUUCUCCAUUGCAGUUGACCACAGGCCACCAUCGUCCUAAAACCUAACUCCAAAGAAAGGAUACUUGCUGGGCAAAAGUUACUAGAGAGGAUGUCAGGAAUAUAUACAUAAAGUGAAAUGGUCGAUUUUCUUUAGACCAGUGUCAGGGCACUUGGAAAAAUCCUGGGACCUUGAAUGGAAGGAAUCAUUCCUUUAACGGUCAUGGAAAUGGUGGGCAGACUGAUCACUGGGCAUAAUUAUCUGAGGUAGCCCCCAAACCAUUUCCUACUCCAAUUGGUCUGAGGGAUUAUAAAACAUACAAUAGUAAUAGAACUAAAAAUGUUCAGUUAUUUUCUGUCAUGGUGCAAUACAGGCCCCCUCCCCAUUGUGCAGCAUUUUCCUUACUUUCUAGAAGAUGAAGAGAAUUGUUGCACAAGUCUAUAGAAGCACAGUAAAUUUUCUACCAGUCUGAUUAAACUGCUACUACCAGGUAGGAAAAACCUUGUGCAGAGAAAAAAAUCAAACAGUUUAAGGCUCAUCUUACGCCAAAGGAUUCUGUAUAUUAAGCUUGAAUGUCCCCUGAUCUGUUUCCUCUGCCCUUCUAUAGAAACCUCGGGCUAUUCCCUGAAUAUUUGAUUCAUUUAUAGUUACUCCUUACCCAUUUAUUGUGUUUCUGAUACAAGAUUUUUAAACCCUGCAGUUUCAUUUUCUGUCUACUAUAAUUCUAGAGCAAAAAACAAAAUUGUGUGAUUAAGUUUCCUUAUUUGGGUAAUGAUUGUCCAUUUAAUGUGAGGUCAGUUGAAAUUCUAAAACCACGUGGCUUCAACAUUUCUGCAGCUAAAAUCUUUUUAGUAUCUGCUUUUGAAUGGCAUCCGGAUAAGAGCACGUGACACACCGUCUCCCAACUACCUAAGAUGAAAACUAACACAAUACAAAACUAGGGCACAAAAAUCUGGGGAGGGGUUGGGAGAGAGCGCUCAAGUAAUUACUUAGCAAACAAUGUUCAAUUGAAGGAAAUCAAUGUAGUUAUCCCUCAGGACAUCCAGAUGUCCUUCGUGAAAAGAGAAGCCACCAGAAAAAAAAUAAAGGAACACAAAAGACAGGUACUGAAUCUAUCUCAUGCCUCAAGAACUAAAGUGGACAGAAAAUUGGAAAGGUAUUCCUUUAACCUGUAUAACCUGGUUUUUGAGGUAUCCAAGUAGCGAUCUUUUUGUUCCCCCAGCAACCAUGUUUGUACAAACCACCAGUGAACAAUGAAGAAGUAAGUUAUAUGCAUAGUACCGAUGGGGGCAGGAAUAGAUAAAAAGGGCACUUUUUUUUUCUUAUUCACCUGAAGUUAUUUAUGCGGUAUUUUAUAUCGUAUAAAACACAAAUUAGGCAACAUUGUUUCUUUCCCAAGGACUUAACAUUUAUAUACCAGAAAGAAGGCAUAAGAGUCUAUCUUCCUGACUAAAA
This is a long non-coding RNA of Felis catus (domestic cat), 1816 nucleotides long. RefSeq lists it as uncharacterized. The record is from RefSeq and is a predicted model, not a curated record. The transcript has 4 exons. Lineage: Eukaryota; Metazoa; Chordata; Mammalia; Carnivora; Felidae.